This 1278-nucleotide ribosomal RNA is filed under the name Triticum aestivum (bread wheat). Its description in RNAcentral is "partial small subunit ribosomal RNA". Lineage: Eukaryota; Viridiplantae; Streptophyta; Magnoliopsida; Poales; Poaceae. The record is from RNAcentral.
AUGGCCGCUGCUAAGCCAGCCUGCUCCGUUCCCGCCAAUUCCGCCGACGCAGCCAAACCGGCGGCGGCGCCAGAGCCCGAGCAGCAGCUCCUGGAGGUGGCGGCGGAGGAGGUGGUCGUCGACUUCAAGCCCAAUUCCAAGUGCCGCGUCGACCUCCGCCUCCGCUCGCUGCACCCGACGCUCCCCGUCGCCUUCAAGGUGCAGACCUCCUCCCCGCUCAAGUUCCUCGUCAGCCCGCCGCGCGGCGCCCUGAAGCCGCUCUCCACGGCAACCAUCCGCGUCGUGCUCCGCCCGCAGCCGCACGCGCCGCCGUCCUUUCCGCGCUCACGCGCCGACCGCUUCCUCGUCCUCUCCUCCCUCUCCGCCGCGCACCUCGACUCCGCGGCCUCCGUGCCCGGCGGCGCCGGCGUCGGCGUCGGCGCCAUCCGCCUUCGCGUGUUCUUCGGCGGGCCCUACCUCCUCCGCCUCGCCGCGGACGCCGGGGACUCCGCGGCCGUGCGCCUAAUCCUGCGCCGGCAGCCGCACCUUCUGCCGGUCCUCGACCCCGAGGCGGCGGUGCCGGACGCCGAGCCGUGGGCGCCGCUGCACGCGGCUGCUGCGCGCGGCGACUGCGGAGAGGUGAGGAGGCUGGGGCAGGAGGCGCUCGCGGCGCGCGACAAGGACGGCAGGACGGCUCUGCACGUCGCGGCUGCGGCCGGGGAAGCAGAGGCCGUGGCAGAGCUGGUGGACAUGGGCGCCGACUCCGCGGCGGCCGACGCGCGCGGGAGGACUCCGCUGGACGUUGCGCGAGAGAAGGGCUACGAAGUGGUGGACGUGCUGCAGCGGUGGGAGCUGGUGAUGACGGCGGCGAGGCGAGGCGACCUCCGGAGCCUGGAGUUCCUCCUCAGCAAGCGCACGGGCCUCCGCGGCCGCGACCAGUACGGGCUGACGGCGCUCCACGUGGCCGCCAUCAAGGGCCACUGCGACGCCAUCGCCCUGCUGGCGGGGUCGGGGUGCAUGGACGUGGAGUGCGAGGACGUGGAAGGGCACCGGCCGCUGCACCUCGCCGUCGAGGGCGGCUGCGCCGACGCCGUGGACCUGCUGCUCGACAUGGGCGCCGACGUCCACGCCAGGACCAAGCGGGGCGCCACGCCGCUCCAGAUGGCCGACACCAUGGGGUACGACGACAUCUCGCAGCUGCUGCGCGGCCGGGGCGCCGACGAGGCGGCGGCGGCAGCGACAGCUGACGCGCAGCUGUGCAUCGCGUCGUCGUCCUCCUCGUCGAUAUCCUGUGCAUAA